UCUGAAUCUGCGAACGGCUCCGCAAACCAGUUGUAAACCAAGGCAGGGCUCCGUCCCGCGGCCCCAUUUCAGUGGGGAAGCGGGUUAAUAUAUGGAUAUCCGUGGUAAUUCUGAGGCUAAUACAUGACGUACAACACCUCGCUCUCGGGCUUGCCCAGGGCGGGGGGGCGUGCGACUCAAGGCUAGGGUACAAUCCACGACAGAACGCACGCUCGGACCACCGCGAAGGGUGAAAGGCUUCGGCCUGGAUCCUGGUGGCCCCCGCAAUGUGCUUCUGACCUAUCAACUAGACGGCAGCGUAACGGACAUGCUUUGGUGACAACGGUACAG
This 330-nucleotide ribosomal RNA is filed under the name Myxogastria sp. Its description in RNAcentral is "SSU rRNA". It matches the Rfam family "Eukaryotic small subunit ribosomal RNA", at positions 80 to 365 of the family's 1831-position model. The record is from RNAcentral. Lineage: Eukaryota; Evosea; Eumycetozoa.